UAAUAUUUUCUCCUUUGUCUGGUUUUGAGGCUUCGGAUGAAAUUAAAAUUCAAAUCAGUGUGAGCGCAAGAUCAAGCAAUUAAGAUUGAAACAGAAAUAGUUUAAAAUAAACUACAUAGGAAAUUUCAAGUUUCUGCCUUUCUGGCCCAUUACAUAUACAUAAUUUUCAGGAGUAAUGAUAAAGAUAACUGAACUCAUUCAUCGUAACACAUCUAAUUCAAUAAUUAAAAAUUAAGAUUAUAUAUCAAAGUUUUAGAUCAAACACCAAACACUGACAGUGUUUUAUUUUCCAAACACUUAAAACAUUUAACAUAGAAUUAGAAAGCAAGACAUGACAAUGCUGUCAAAUAGCAACGCCAGCUGCUUCCAGCAGCUGUUUCACCUUAGUGAUGUAAUCACUCAUUGCUUCCUCCUUGGAUUUCGCUGCAGAAAAAAAUAAUAGUUUUAAUAUCUCUGAGAACACAAAUUAUAUUCAGAUUGAACCGGCGUCUAUGUCGGUUCUUCAUAAAUUAUAAUAGGUGUGUACGUGUUUGUGGUAAUA
RNAcentral lists this long non-coding RNA (541 nucleotides) under Trifolium pratense (red clover). Its description in RNAcentral is "long non-coding RNA (TPRA_LNC010976)". The record is from RNAcentral. Lineage: Eukaryota; Viridiplantae; Streptophyta; Magnoliopsida; Fabales; Fabaceae.